GGUCCUGUGGCCGAGGGGCUUAGGCACUGGUCUGCAAAACCAGUUACAGCGGUUCGAAUCCGCUCGGGACCUCAA
RNAcentral lists this transfer RNA (75 nucleotides) under Fluviicola sp. XM-24bin1. RNAcentral's name for it is "tRNA-Cys". It matches the Rfam family "tRNA". From Rfam's summary of the family: Transfer RNA (tRNA) molecules are approximately 80 nucleotides in length. Their secondary structure includes four short double-helical elements and three loops (D, anti-codon, and T loops). Further hydrogen bonds mediate the characteristic L-shaped molecular structure. tRNAs have two regions of fundamental functional importance: the anti-codon, which is responsible for specific mRNA codon recognition, and the 3' end, to which the tRNAs corresponding amino acid is attached (by aminoacyl-tRNA synthetases). tRNAs cope with the degeneracy of the genetic code in two manners: having more than one tRNA (with a specific anti-codon) for a particular amino acid; and 'wobble' base-pairing, i.e. permitting non-standard base-pairing at the 3rd anti-codon position. Lineage: Bacteria; Pseudomonadati; Bacteroidota; Flavobacteriia; Flavobacteriales; Crocinitomicaceae. The record is from RNAcentral.